GGUUGUGUGGUGUAACUGGUAACACGCCUGCUUUUGCAAAGCAGAGAAGCGGUUCGAAUCCGACACGAUCC
Molecule: transfer RNA, 71 nt
Filed under: Kitasatospora griseola
Lineage: Bacteria; Bacillati; Actinomycetota; Actinomycetes; Kitasatosporales; Streptomycetaceae
Rfam family: tRNA
About the family: Transfer RNA (tRNA) molecules are approximately 80 nucleotides in length.
Source: Rfam by way of RNAcentral